RNAcentral lists this ribosomal RNA (439 nucleotides) under uncultured bacterium. Its description in RNAcentral is "partial 16S ribosomal RNA". It matches the Rfam family "Bacterial small subunit ribosomal RNA", at positions 339 to 795 of the family's 1533-position model. The record is from RNAcentral.
CUACGGGUUGCACCAGUGAGGAAUAUUGCACAAUGGGGGGAACCCUGAUGCAGCAACGCCGCGUGGAGGAUGACGCAUUUCGGUGUGUAAACUCCUUUUAUAUGUCAAGAAAAUGACGGUAGCAUAUGAAUAAGCACCGGCUAACUCCGUGCCAGCAGCCGCGAUAAUACGGAGGGUGCAAGCGUUACUCGGAAUCACUGGGCGUAAAGGACGCGUAGGCGGGUUGGAAAGUCGGGUGUGAAAUCCUACAGCUUAACUGUAGAACUGCACUUGAAACUUCUAAUCUAGAGUAUGGGAGGGGGAGAUGGAAUUAGUGGUGUAGGGGUAAAAUCCGUAGAUAUCACUAGGAAUACCUAAAGCGAAGGCGAUCUCCUGGAACAUUACUGACGCUAAGGCGUGAAAGCGUGGGGAGCAAACAGGAUUAGAUACCCCUGUAGUC